UACAGAGGUCUCAAGCGUUGUUCGGAUUCAUUGGGCGUAAAGGGUGCGUAGGCGGCGCGGUAAGUCGGGUGUGAAAUCUUGGAGCUUAACUCCGAAACUGCAUUCGAUACUGCCGUGCUUGAGGACUGGAGAGGAGACUGGAAUUUACGGUGUAGCGGUGAAAUGCGUAGAUAUCGUAAGGAAGACCAGUGGCGAAGGCGGGUUUCUGGACAGUUCCUGACGCUGAGGCACGAAGGCCAGGGGAGCAAACGGG
Molecule: ribosomal RNA, 253 nt
Filed under: uncultured bacterium
Lineage: Bacteria
Description: partial 16S ribosomal RNA
Rfam family: Bacterial small subunit ribosomal RNA
Source: RNAcentral